UGGGGAAUUUUGGACAAUGGACGCAAGUCUGAUCCAGCCAUGCCGCGUGCGGGAAGAAGGCCUUCGGGUUGUAAACCGCUUUUGUCAGGGAAGAAACGAGUUUCUCUAAUACAGAGACUUAAUGACGGUACCUGAAGAAUAAGCACCGGCUAACUACGUGCCAGCAGCCGCGGAAAUACGUAGGGUGCAAGCGUUAAUCGGAGUUACUGGGCGUAAAGCGUGCGCAGGCGGUUAUGCAAGACAGAUGUGAAAUCCCCGGGCUCAACCUGGGAACUGCGUUUGUGACUGCAUAACUAGAGUACGGCAGAGGGAGGUGGAAUUCCGCGUGUAGCAGUGAAAUGCGUAGAUAUGCGGAGGAACACCGAUGGCGAAGGCAAUCCCCUGGACCUGUACUGACGCUCAUGCACGAAAGCGUGGGGAGCAAACA
This 427-nucleotide ribosomal RNA is filed under the name uncultured bacterium. Its description in RNAcentral is "bacterial SSU rRNA". It matches the Rfam family "Bacterial small subunit ribosomal RNA", at positions 355 to 774 of the family's 1533-position model. The record is from RNAcentral.